AUACGAAGGGUGCAAGCGUUGUUCGGAUUUACUGGGAGUAAAGCGUCCGUAGGUGGUUUGUUAAGUCAGGGGUGAAAUCCCGGGGCCUAACCCCGGAACUGCCUUUGAUACUGGCAGGCUGGAGCGCGAUAGAGGAAGAUGGAAUAUCUGGUGUAGGGGUGAAAUCCGUAGAUAUCAUAUAGAACACCAAUGGCGAAGGCAUUCUCCUGGAUCGUUGCUGACACUGAGUGACUAAAGCGUGGGUAGCAAACAGAAUUAGAUGCUCUGGUAGUCCACGCCCUAAACGAUGCAUUCUUGUUGUUGGGUCUUCAUGGACUCAGUAACGAAGCUAACGCGUGAAGUUGACCGCCUGGGGAGUACGGCCGCUAGGUUGAAUCUCAAAGGAAUUGACGGGU
This 395-nucleotide ribosomal RNA is filed under the name uncultured bacterium. RNAcentral describes it as "partial 16S ribosomal RNA". It matches the Rfam family "Bacterial small subunit ribosomal RNA", at positions 523 to 918 of the family's 1533-position model. The record is from RNAcentral.